RNAcentral lists this ribosomal RNA (389 nucleotides) under uncultured bacterium. RNAcentral describes it as "bacterial SSU rRNA". It matches the Rfam family "Bacterial small subunit ribosomal RNA", at positions 28 to 417 of the family's 1533-position model. The record is from RNAcentral.
GACGAACGCUGGCGGCGUGCUUAACACAUGCAAGUCGAGCGGUAAGGCCCUUUCGGGGGUACGACGAGCGGCGAACGGGUGAGUAACACGUGGGUGACCUGCCCUCAGCUCUGGGAUAAGCCUGGGAAACUGGGUCUAAUACUGGAUAUGACUCCACGGUGCAUGUCGUGGGGUGGAAAGCCUUGUGCGGCUGAGGAUAGGCCCGCGGCCUAUCGGCUUGUUGGUGGGGUGAUGGCCUACCAAGGCGACGACGGGUAGCCGGCCUGAGAGGGCGACCGGCCACACUGGGACUGAGACACGGCCCAGACUCCUACGGGAGGCAGCAGUGGGGAAUCUUGCGCAAUGGGCGAAAGCCUGACGCAGCGACGCCGCGUGAGGGAUGACGGCCU